GCUGAAGUGAAAAUGCAUAAGUUGAGAUUAUGAAGAUGUAAGUCAAAUAUUAUUUCAAGAAUUACUAUUUACCGAACAUACAAUACUCAACGAACUAUACUUAUAUGAUGUAACUCCUUGAUACGAUAUGCGUCUAUUAAACUGCUCCGAAAUCAAUUAUAUACUUCCGAAGCCAUACUUUUCUUUUUAGUGGUAAUAAGAAUAAGAAAUGCUUCAUAACACAUUUUUUUUAUAUUUAUGACUUCUUUUCAAUCAUUUAAUCAUUUCAAAAUCAUGUAACAUAUUAACUAAAGAUUAAGUAUGUUUCCAAAUAUAUGUAUGUUGGGGUAUAAAAAUAGCACAAAUACAUGAAUGACGAAUUUACAUACUCAAGUAAAGGUGAUAAAAAGAUAUAUGUUUGUUGUGUGAAACUGGAUAUUGUUUAAAUUAAAUGUUCGAUGGUAGUAUUCAAAUAAUUAAACAAAAAUAAAAAUACACCAUAAAGUUGUUGAUAAAAUGCCUACUUUUACGUCAUUUGAUCUCUCAUUGAGAGUUAUAUAUCAUUGACAAUCAAACAACAUCUUCUUAUUGUCAUAGAGUUAACAAAAUCCUACCCAAUGAUAUUUUUCCAGAACAUUCCAUUACAAAACAUUAAAAUACGCAAUCCAGAACAGUUUUAUUAGAUUUUGACUGAUUUAUUUAACCCUCCAUAUUAAUAUAAAAUAACGAUGUAUCUAAUCAAUUAGAUAUGUGAUUUCAUAACUGUUAUUUUUCAGGGCAGCUGAAGAUCUACAUGUUGUCGAAAACCGCUCAGUGAUAAAGUUGGUCACUGUGACAUUGCCUUGAUGUUUUUUUUUAAUUUGUUACAAAUUUCAUAUUAGAGAAAGUAAGGAAGCGAACAGAUAUAGUAAACCUAGUUCACAUAACAUCUGAAGAUGUUUUUGCGUAUAGUAAAAAAAUGUUUACUUUGUAACUGGAAGAAAGAGUUUGAUCGUAAUAUCCAGAGAAGUGUGAGGGUCAAGUUGAAAAAGUUCCCUUUUAGGAAGGGCCAUAUAGAGAUAGUAUAUAGUUUGGAACUUACAAGUAUUUAUAUGCUUAGGUAGUUAUUUUUAAUGUAUAAUCUAUUGAAAGUGUAUAUAGAUUUUUAAAUUAUUUGAAAAAAUGUCAUUCCAAUGAUUGAUAAUGUAGUAAUUAUAAUAAUUAAGGAAUGACUGUAAUAUUUGUUCUGUCUAUGAAGGAAUAACAUCAAAAAUCUGGUGCACACUGAAUAAAGUGUGCACCACAUUUUAAUGUCAUUUCGAAUAGACAGAAAAAAAUUCUAUCAUUUCUUAUAAAUGAAUUCUAAAUUCCAAUUUAAACCGUAGUAAAUAUGAAAAUACGUCGAUGACGUCACGGUCACAUGACAAAAUUAUGUCUAUGAGCUGAUAAACAAAACAACGUCAGCCAAUCAGAAGACGCGUUAUAUCCAAAAUAUUUUUUUACGUAAUACUAGUAAUAACUGUUAUGACAGGUUUUGUCAAUGUAUUCGUCUGUUAGUUUUCAUUUUAUUAUCACUCAGAAUGAACGUUCAAUUUCUAUAUAUCGUUACCUUCAAAUUUAGACAAAUAUACCUUCAAAAUUCACGUAUAAUUUCGAUAACAGUAAGAACUGACAUAAUGAGCUUUAAUCUUAGAGGAAGACUACCUUUGUGAUUUGCUUUAUCAAUCGUGUUUCUUGUGUGUUUUCUUCGGUUAUUAAUAGUUAUGAAAUAAUAAGAUCACAUAUAUAUAUAUAUUGAACUCGGAGGAAAAUUCAAAAUGGAAAGUCCCUACAAUUUAGUUUUGAAUAACAGUGACAAAAUCAAAAGAUCCUUUACGACGGAACAAUAUUUUAAAUAAGUUUACUUUAAGUUCUCAUAACCUGUUUAUCUUCUCGUUGGCUAUAUACGGGGGAAAAAAUAAAACUAUAAAAGGUUACUUUUUUUCUUUUAAAUCAUUUGUGUUUUUUUUUCUUUCAAUUCAUUAGAACGUUCUCUUGCUAAUUUAUAAUAAUUAAAAUAACGUCCUUUCGGAAUUAGACAAACAUUGUUUUUAGUGUUUCCAGAGGUGACUUUUUGCAUACCUGUCUUAGACCGAGUACAUUUAAAAUUUAUAAUUCGAGACAAUGUAUAGUUUUCUUUACAUACUAGUACUGCACAUCCUAUAACUGCUCCAAAUGAAAUAUUUAGGGUAAAACCCAUCAUUUUGUUAAAUCAAAGCGGACGACGUAAAAUUUCCGCGUCCCCUUUAUUUGUUAUUGACGUGAAAAAUAAAAAUCAACGGAAACGCAUUGUCAACGCCAUUAACAAGGCAAAUGGAUAUAUAGUCAAUGCAAUUUGACUGCACAAAUAGCAAAGUUGCAAUAAAUAGGGACAUAUAUUCAGUCUUCAAAAAACAUUAGAAUAGCACCCUUUUUACUCAGGUGCAGUACUGUUCAAAAAUGAAAUAGGCGUUAAACGUGUCGAAAUGCUCCUCCCCUUUUUUAAUGUGUAAAAAAGGCACCUGAAGUCAGAACCCUUCUCCCUUUUAAUGUUUGAACACAGACACCCGACGUCUUUCUGCGAUUUUGCUGGUAUCUCCUAGUAAUUUUAAAAGUAAAUACGUUCACCGGUGAUAAAUUUUGACAUCGGAUUAAUUUUCACAGAAAUGAUAUCUAUAACUAUUUAGUAUCUAAGUUAUGUACAAUUGUGGUUCAAAUAUUGGAUAACGCCAUUGUUAUACUGUAUCUAACAAGUUCUUAACAGUAUUUUAUUUUCAUUUCAUUGAUAUCGUAUACGUUAUCUAUAGAGUGCCUAUAUGCCAUUUUGGUUUUCAUUGUUGUGUAAUAAUUGCGUGUUUUAUA
RNAcentral lists this long non-coding RNA (2838 nucleotides) under Mytilus galloprovincialis (Mediterranean mussel). The record is from RNAcentral. Lineage: Eukaryota; Metazoa; Mollusca; Bivalvia; Mytilida; Mytilidae.